UACGUAGGGGGCGAGCGUUGUCCGGAUUCAUUGGGCGUAAAGCGCGCGUAGGCGGCUUCGUAAGUCGGCCGUGAAAUCUCCAGGCUUAACUUGGAGGGGUCGGGCGAGACUGCGGAGCUCGAGGUGGGCAGAGGGCAGUGGAAUUCCGGGUGUAGUGGUGGAAUGCGUAGAGAUCCGGAGGAACACCAGUGGCGAAGGCGGCUCACUGGACGACUGUUGACGCUGAGGUGCGAAAGCGUGGGGAGCAAACAGG
This 253-nucleotide ribosomal RNA is filed under the name uncultured bacterium. RNAcentral's name for it is "partial 16S ribosomal RNA". It matches the Rfam family "Bacterial small subunit ribosomal RNA", at positions 524 to 776 of the family's 1533-position model. The record is from RNAcentral.